AACUAUAACGGUCCUAAGGUAGCGAAAUUCCUUGUCAGGUAAGUUCUGACCCGCAUGAAAGGCGUAAUGAUUUGGGCACUGUCUCAACAGCCCGCCCGGCGAAAUUGUAGUACCGGUGAAGAUGCCGGUUACCCGCGACAAGACGGAAAGACCCCAUGGAGCUUUACUGUAGCCUAAUAUUGGGUUUCGAUGUUGCAUGCACAGGAUAGAUGGGACACUGGGAAGCAGGUGCUUUGGCGCUUGUGGAGUGGCCGUUGGGAUACCAUCCUUGCGAUAUUGGAAUUCUAACCUGCGCCUUUGAAUCAAGGCGGGGGACAUUGUUAGGUGGGCAGUUUGACUGGGGCGGUCGCCUCCUAAAGAGUAACGGAGGCGUUCAAAGGUUCGCUCAGCUUGAACGGAAAUCAAGCAAAAGAGUGCAAACGCAGAAGCGAGCCUAACUGCGAGACUGACGGGUCGAGCAGUAACGAAAGUUGGAGUUAGUGAUCCGGUGGUAUGUGAGUGGAAAUGCCAUCGCUCAACGGAUAAAAGCUACCCUGGGGAUAACAGGCUGAUCUCCCCCAAGAGUCCACAUCGACGGGGAGGUUUGGCACCUCGAUGUCGGCUCAUCGCAUCCUGGGGCUGUAGUCGGUCCCAAGGGUUGGGCUGUUCGCCCAUUAAAGCGGUACGCGAGCUGGGUUCAGAACGUCGUGAGACAGUUCGGUCCCUAUCUGUCGUGGGCGCAGGAUAUUUGAUGGGAGCUGUUCCUAGUACGAGAGGACCGGAGCGGACGUACCUCUGGCGCACCAGUUGUUCUGCCAAGAGCAUAGCUGGGCAACUAUGUACGGAUCGGAUAAACGCUGAAAGCAUCUAAGCGUGAAGCCGACCCAAAGAUAAGAUAUCCCAUUGUUUCAAACAAGUAAGACCCCUUGAAGACUACAAGGUUGAUAGGCACGAUGUGUAAGUGGAGUGAUCCAUUCAGCAAGCGUGUACUAAUAGGUCGAGGGCUUGACCAC
RNAcentral lists this ribosomal RNA (992 nucleotides) under human gut metagenome. Its description in RNAcentral is "bacterial LSU rRNA". It matches the Rfam family "Bacterial large subunit ribosomal RNA", at positions 1938 to 2925 of the family's 2925-position model. The record is from RNAcentral.